Long non-coding RNA from Oncorhynchus masou masou (cherry salmon), 621 nucleotides. RefSeq lists it as uncharacterized. The transcript is spliced from 2 exons. NCBI's taxonomy places the organism in Eukaryota, Metazoa, Chordata, Actinopteri, Salmoniformes, Salmonidae. The record is from RefSeq and is a predicted model, not a curated record.
UCUCUGGCCCCUCUCUCUCUCUUCCACCUUCUCUCUCUCUCUUGCUCUCUGGCCCCUCUCUCUCUCUUCCACCUUCUCUCUCUCUCUUGCUCUCUGGCCCCUCUCUCUCUCUUCCACCUUCUCUCUGCUCUCCUCUCCCUCUGUCUCUCUCCCCUGACUCUCUCCCUCUAUCUCUACCCUCUCUCUCCCUCCUCCUCCUUCUCUCACCCCUCUCUCUCCUCUCCUCUCCUCUCCCUCUCUCUCUGCACAGAAAGAGGCAACCAGGGGUUUCAGUCCCUGCGUCAUGUGAUCCAAUCUCCCCAUGCCCCUUGUCAUGUGACCAAGUCGAUAACCGAGUCUGCCUGCUAGGUGUCCAAGGACCGAGGGGUGGGCCGGGUGCUGGAGAAACUGAGCCGCUUCGCAGAUGAGCGGACCCCCAAGGUGCGACCCCAGGUCUUCCACAAGGUGCUGGGUGGCUUACAGCCCUGGGUGUUUUGCUUACCUGACCUCUGUGUCGCCAUCGAGGCACAGAUACAUCAAUAACAAUAACAGACUGAUUGAUAAUAGCUGUCUCUUUGUUAUUUUUGUGUACGGCUGUAUAAGCAACACACAGUAGGCUAUAUUAAAAACAUCUUAAUCUUU